AUAGCGUAUAUUAAAGUUGUUGUGGUUAAAAAGCUCGUAGUUGGAUCUCAGUUCGAGUCAGGCGGUCCACUUGCCAGUGGCUACUGCCUGACUGAACACUUUACCGAGUUGUCCUAUGGUGUUCUUCACCGAGCGUCAUAGGCGAUCGGUACGUUUACUUUGAAAAAAUUAGAGUGCUCAAAGCAGGCGUAACGCCCGAAUAAUGUUGCAUGGAAUAAUGGAAUAGGACCUCGGUUCUAUUUUGUUGGUCUUCGGAAUCAGAGGUAAUGAUCAAUAGGGACAGACGGGGACAUUCGUAUUGCGGCGCUAGAGGUGAAAUUCUUGGACCGUCGCAAGACGAACUAAAG
This 347-nucleotide ribosomal RNA is filed under the name uncultured eukaryote. RNAcentral's name for it is "SSU rRNA". It matches the Rfam family "Eukaryotic small subunit ribosomal RNA", at positions 594 to 945 of the family's 1831-position model. The record is from RNAcentral.